RNAcentral lists this ribosomal RNA (899 nucleotides) under Sporothrix schenckii. RNAcentral describes it as "LSU rRNA". It matches the Rfam family "Eukaryotic large subunit ribosomal RNA", at positions 38 to 968 of the family's 3401-position model. The record is from RNAcentral. RNAcentral also lists the same sequence under 1 other name. Lineage: Eukaryota; Fungi; Ascomycota; Sordariomycetes; Ophiostomatales; Ophiostomataceae.
GCAUAUCAAUAAGCGGAGGAAAAGAAACCAACAGGGAUUGCCCCAGUAACGGCGAGUGAAGCGGCAACAGCUCAAAUUUGAAAUCUGGCCCCCCGGCCCGAGUUGUAAUUUGGAGAGGAUGCUUCUGGCGCGGCGCCGUCCGAGUUCCUUGGAACAGGACGCCACAGAGGGUGAGAGCCCCGUACGGACGGACGCCUAGCCUCUACGAAGCUCCUUCGACGAGUCGAGUAGUUUGGGAAUGCUGCUCAAAAUGGGAGGUAAAUUUCUUCUAAAGCUAAAUACCGGCCAGAGACCGAUAGCGCACAAGUAGAGUGAUCGAAAGAUGAAAAGCACUUUGAAAAGAGGGUUAAAAAGUACGUGAAAUUGUUGAAAGGGAAGCGCCUGUGACCAGACUUGCGCCCCGCGGACCACCCGGCGUUCUCGCCGGUGCACUCUGCGGUGCGCAGGCCAGCAUCGGUUCUCCCAGGGGGACAAAGGCCGCGGGAACGUAGCUCCUUCGGGAGUGUUAUAGCCCGCGGCGGCAUGCCCCUGGGGGGACCGAGGACCGCGCUUCGGCAAGGAUGCUGGCGUAAUGGUCACCAGCGACCCGUCUUGAAACACGGACCAAGGAGUCAAGCAUUGGGGCGAGUGUAUGGGUGCCAAACCCGCACGCGAAAUGAAAGUAAACGCAGGUGAGAGCUUCGGCGCAUCAUCGACCGAUCCUGAUGUCUUCGGAUGGAUUUGAGUAAGAGCCUUACCGCUUGGACCCGAAAGAUGGUGAACUAUGCCUGAAUAGGGUGAAGCCAGAGGAAACUCUGGUGGAGGCUCGCAGCGGUUCUGACGUGCAAAUCGAUCGUCAAAUUUGGGCAUGGGGGCGAAAGACUAAUCGAACCAUCUAGUAGCUGGUUACCGCCGAAGUU